RNAcentral lists this ribosomal RNA (133 nucleotides) under Klebsiella aerogenes. Its description in RNAcentral is "partial 23S ribosomal RNA". The stretch from base 1 to 115 matches the Rfam family "Bacterial large subunit ribosomal RNA", at positions 2800 to 2925 of the family's 2925-position model. The record is from RNAcentral. Lineage: Bacteria; Pseudomonadati; Pseudomonadota; Gammaproteobacteria; Enterobacterales; Enterobacteriaceae.
UGAGACUUUAAGUCUCCUGAAGGAACGUUGAAGACGACGACGUUGAUAGGCCGGGUGUGUAAGCGCAGCGAUGCGUUGAGCUAACCGGUACUAAUGAGCCGUGAGGCUUAACCUUACAACGCCAGAGUGGUUU